RNAcentral lists this long non-coding RNA (442 nucleotides) under Homo sapiens (human). RNAcentral describes it as "non-protein coding lnc-ANKRD27-2:9". Lineage: Eukaryota; Metazoa; Chordata; Mammalia; Primates; Hominidae. The record is from RNAcentral.
AUUACAGGUGUGAGCCACUGCGCCAUGCCUUGUUCCACUUUAUCUUUCAAGAGUAAGUUUCAUCGUGGAUUAUGGUUAAAGACAAGUGCUGAUUUGGUUUUCCUACCUGAUCACGAGGCCACUCGAUAGAACUAGUAAGCUAUGCCUUGGGCCUGCAGGAUGGCACCUGACUUGAAGAUAGCACCUGACUUGAAGAUGGCACCUGACUAGCAUUUGGACUGGUUUGCAGGCUGAGCACAGGGUUGCUCCAGGUGGGCCCAAAUGCUGAAGAGCCUCAUGUUAGAGUUUUUCACCUCUGCGAUGGAACUGUGGUGGACUCCAGUAUCAUCAUUCCAGGGAGGCAUAGCCGCACCAACUGUGUUCCCAGGUUUCACAUGGAGAAGGGUUUUAGAAAGUGCAGAUAGCCUUGAAACCAUUGGUUUCCUACCACUGUUUAUUUCAG